GCAGUUGGUCAUACUGCUGAACUGACAGUACGGUCAGAAAAUGGUUGCAAAGUAAAGAUGGCAGUGAGAGGUGAUGCACGAAUUCUCCUCCUCGGAAUUUUAUGUAUUUUCUUGUUAAAAUCAUGUAAUGGAGCCGCGACAGAUAUUGAAUUAGACGCAAAAGCACAGUUGUUACAUAGACUUGAUAGUUUAAAUCUUUUAUUAUAUACAUUUUUAUUGAUAUUAACUGUUUUAACAAUAUGGACAUUUAAGCAUCGUCGUCUUAGGUUCCUCCAUGAAACUGGUCUAGCUGUCAUUUACGGAUUAAUUAUAGGGGCAAUAAUUCGUUAUGGUUUUACAACAAGUAGUACCAUUCUUCAUAUGCCUGUUGUGCCAGACAACAGUAGUAAAUAUAAUCAAUCAGUUCCUCCAGAUACCUUAUGGUUACGUUUUCCAGAAGAUAAAGGAGGUGGUGUUAUUAAAAAUAAGACAUUUGCCUAUUCAUUUAGGGGAGAAAUUUAUAAGCAAGAUAAUGAGAUAGAUUUGAAGGCCACCUUUGAUCCUGAAAUAUUUUUUAACAUUAUUUUACCACCAAUCAUUUUCCAUGCUGGAUAUAGUUUAAAACGUAAAUACUUCUUUAGAAACUUAGGAGCAAUUCUUAUGUAUGCUUUAAUUGGAACAUCUAUAUCAGCUUUUGUUAUUGGAGCUUUGAUGUAUGCCUUUGUGCAAUUAAUACCACAUCUUUCUGCUUCAUUUACAUUUUUGGAUACCUUAUAUUUUGGUGCAUUAAUAUCUCCUACGGAUCCACUGACAAUAAUUUCUAUUUUUAAUGAUUUACAUGUAGAUGUAAAUUUAUAUGCUUUAGUAUUUGGAGAAAGUGUGUUAAAUGAUGCAGUUGCAAUUGUACUUAGUGGUGCCAUACAAAAUUAUGGAGAACGUUAUCAAUCAGGUUCAGGCGGAUUUGAAACUGUAGCAUUUUUCCAAGCAUUUGGUGAUUUUGUUGGAAUAUUUAGCUUAUCUUUAUUUAUUGGUGCUACCAUGGGCUGUAUCACUGCUUUGUUAACUAAAUUUACUAGAGUCAGAGAUUUUCCACUUUUGGAAUCAGCAUUAUUUGUUUUAAUGUCUUAUAGCACAUUCUUAAUUGCUGAAGCAUCUGAUCUUACAGGUGUAGUCGCUGUCUUAUUCUGUGGUAUUUGUCAAGCACAUUACACGUAUAAUAACUUAAGUCCGGAUUCGCGGCAACGGACGAAACAAUUGUUUGAACUUUUAAAUUUUUUAGCUGAGAACUUUAUAUUCAGUUACAUUGGUGUUACAAUGUUUACUUUUCCGAAACAUCAUUUCGAUCCAGGAUUUAUUUUUGCAGGAUUUCUUUGUGCAUUAUUAGGUCGGGCAGCCAAUGUAUAUCCAUUAUCUUUUAUAUUGAAUUUAGCGCGAAAACCAAAGAUAUCGUUAAAUUAUCAGCAUAUGUUAUUUUUUGCUGGUUUACGUGGAGCCAUGAGUUUUGCUCUGGCUAUCAGAAAUACUGUAUCGGAUGCUCGGCAGGCUAUGUUAACAACAACGAGUUUAAUUGUAAUUCUGACAGUCAUCUUCCAGGGUGGCGCAACAACCCAGUUUUUGAGCUGGUUUAAUAUACCAGUUGGAGUAGAUGAAGAAAUAGAAGGAUUAUCACACAAUGGAAUGCGCAGUUCUGGUGGCGAAGGUGGCUUUGGAGAUCUGGACAUACAUAGGGAGAGAAGUCCGCCGUAUAAUUCUAUGCAGGAUGGAUCAUUACCAGGCAGUGGCAUAAAACCUAAUGAAAAAGCAUUACUUGCUAGAAUCUGGGGUGACUUUGAUACUCGCUACAUGAAACCACUUUUAACUCACUCCAGGCCUACAUUACUAGAAACAUUACCAGUUUGUUGCACACCUUUAGCCAGGAUUCUUACAACAACACAACAAAUGACACAGGAUGAAGCUGUUAGAAAAGCAGAUUCAGAUUCAGAUUUUUGUCUCGAAGAUCGUGAACUGGAACGUCGAAGGAGUAGUAUUCAACCGACACAUGUAAGGAGCUCUCCAAACAGAAUACAUUUAUAAGAGUAAAUCUAAUAUAAUUUAUGAAGUUGUAUACAUUUUUGGGGGAAUUUGGCUGCAUUGAUUUAAGCAUUAAGUAAUUACUCUCUUUGUUGUACAAUAUGCCAUAAAUAUUUAUAUUACUUAACAUUAAUAUGUUAUUUCACACAGACUCUAAUUCGGUAUGUUUAAUUUCUAACAUUCUCUAAUUUUGAUACCAGAUAAAUUUUAAUUUCUUCAAAUGAUACAAAACAUGCUUUCUGAUAUAUUGUAAUCAACAUCUCAGAUAAUACUUAAUGAGAAAAGUAUGACAUAGGUAUGUGCGUAUGCAAUGUUGGUGUCAAAUAUUACAUAUUACUAUUGUAUUAUAGCUUCUAUAAAUGUUAAUUAUAUUUUCCUGGUAUUUAUUUUCUUUGGGAAGUAUUAUCCAAUAUUUUGGAUAACAAAUGACAUUGACAACAAAAGAUUGAAUCUGGGAACUGUGAUGGGAGAAGUUAGUCCGGGACCACUACCAUUGCACACACGCGUCGCCUUGCCAGGUUUGGUCGGCAAACAUUUAUAGAGACUAAUUGAUAUUGGUAAAUAAACUUACCUUUUUAUGUGUAAUAUUAUAUGUGCAACUGAUAAAUGUAUUUAUUUGAAAAGCUUAAAAAAUCUGUGCAAACUAUUAUAUCUAAUACUAUUCAUCAUAAGUAGAAUUUGGAAGAUAUUUCUAUUACUUGCUGUUUUCAUUUAGAUAUUAUAAAAAAUAAAUCAUAUAAGUUGUUAAUGAAAUGUGAGUGUAUGCUAUUAUAAUAAAUGUAACUUAUAUUAUUUUCAUUUUAUAAUUAAUAUUAUUACAUUAUUAUCUUUUGAUUGUCAUGAAUAAGUCUUGACAAAAUUAUUGACAAAAUCUUUCAUAAUCUAUAUGCAUGUGUGUAUAUAUAUGAAUUAUAUGUUACUAUGUUAUAGCAACAUAUAUAUUACAUUUAUUGGUUGUACUAAAUGUAACAAAGUUUUGUUAUAUGCAGUACCAACGAAUCAAUUAUAUGAAAAUCAAUAAAUAUAACUUAUAUUUUUCACUUGGUAUAUAAUUUAUAAUUCAGUGGAGGUCCUGGUUUGUAGUAAUUAUUGCAGAAAAAUUUAUUUUAAAACGUUAUUGAAUUAAAUAUGUUAUUGUGACACCAACUAACAGUUGCAUUAUGCAUUUGAAUAUAAUAAUUCAUAACACAAUGUGACAAAAGAGGAAUAAGAAGUAAUAUGUUUUGUCAGAAAUUUUAAAUUUGUAAAAUUAAAUUAAAUAUAAAAAUAAACUCUGAAAAAAAUAGUUACAUCAAUACAAUGACAAUAAAUUAAUAUGAUUGAAUUUUAAUAUUCUUAUGUUGAAAACAUAAUUUUAAAUUAUUAUAUUUGGAUGUACCUUGCAAUAAUUUAAAGUUAACUUUGUUUGGAUGAAGAAUUUAAUUUUCUGUUCAGCAAAUUGAUUUUGCUGGCAUAUAUAAUAAUAUUUGCAUUUACGGUGCAGGACACUUAACAUGCGAUAGCAACAUAAAUACAUACCAUUUGUAUUAUAAUUUGUAAUUGUAUAUGCAUAAGUGGUCUAAAAAUUAAAUCAAUCAACAUAAAACAAUUUAUUGGAAAGGUUAUUAUAGACAGAAAUUAUAAACUGUGCCAAUCCUCGCAAAAAUUACAAUAUAAAUUAUAAAAUUCUUCUGUGAAAAUGAUUAUAAGUAAAAACUUUAACAUAUUUUAAAUGACAUAUAAUACAGUAUUGUUCUCAGAACAGUACAAAAUACAUAUUACAAAUUAUAAGAAUA
Molecule: RNA transcript, 3824 nt
Organism: Bombus impatiens (common eastern bumble bee)
Lineage: Eukaryota; Metazoa; Arthropoda; Insecta; Hymenoptera; Apidae
Gene: Nhe3
Gene name: sodium/hydrogen exchanger 7
Exons: 14
Source: RefSeq, a predicted model, not a curated record